AAAUAAGAAUGAGUUAACAUUAAAAUAUAGGUCGAAACUAAUUACAAAUUUUGUUUCUUAUUA
Molecule: transfer RNA, 63 nt
Filed under: Mengenilla australiensis
Lineage: Eukaryota; Metazoa; Arthropoda; Insecta; Strepsiptera; Mengenillidae
Description: tRNA-Arg
Source: RNAcentral